UGGGGAAUAAUGCGCAAUGGGCGAAAGCCUGACGCAGCGACGCCGCGUGGGGGAUGACGGCCUUCGGGUUGUAAACCUCUUUCGACCGGGACGAAGCGCAAGCGACGGUACCGGUAGAAGAAGCACCGGCCAACUACGUGCCAGCAGCCGCGGUAAUACGUAGGGUGCGAGCGUUGUCCGGAAUUAUUGGGCGUAAAGAGCUCGUAGGCGGUGUGUCGCGUCGGUCGUGAAAACUUGGGGCUUAACCCUGAGCGUGCGGUCGAUACGGGCAUCACUUGAGUUCGGCAGGGGAGACUGGAAUUCCUGGUGUAGCGGUGAAAUGCGCAGAUAUCAGGAGGAACACCGGUGGCGAAGGCGGGUCUCUGGGCCGACACUGACGCUGAGGAGCGAAAGCGUGGGGAGCGAAC
This 407-nucleotide ribosomal RNA is filed under the name uncultured bacterium. RNAcentral describes it as "bacterial SSU rRNA". It matches the Rfam family "Bacterial small subunit ribosomal RNA", at positions 355 to 773 of the family's 1533-position model. The record is from RNAcentral.